This 305-nucleotide ribosomal RNA is filed under the name uncultured bacterium. RNAcentral's name for it is "bacterial SSU rRNA". It matches the Rfam family "Bacterial small subunit ribosomal RNA", at positions 333 to 636 of the family's 1533-position model. The record is from RNAcentral.
UGAUGCCUACGGGACGCAGCAGUGAGGAAUAUUGGUCAAUGGGCGCGAGCCUGAACCAGCCAAGUCGCGUGAGGGAAGACGGUCCUAUGGAUUGUAAACCUCUUUUGUCGGGGAGCAAAGGACGCCACGCGUGGCGUUCCGAGAGUACCCGAAGAAAAAGCAUCGGCUAACUCCGUGCCAGCAGCCGCGGUAAUACGGAGGAUGCGAGCGUUAUCCGGAUUUAUUGGGUUUAAAGGGUGCGCAGGCGGAAGAUCAAGUCAGCGGUAAAAUUGAGAGGCUCAACCUCUUCGAGCCGUUGAAACUGG